This 1735-nucleotide long non-coding RNA is filed under the name Phoenix dactylifera (date palm). RNAcentral's name for it is "long non-coding RNA (PDAC_LNC006552)". The record is from RNAcentral. Lineage: Eukaryota; Viridiplantae; Streptophyta; Magnoliopsida; Arecales; Arecaceae.
GACAAAACUCGUUCACUAGGGCCACCUAGGGGUUUAAAGCCUUAUUGCAUAUGGUAAAUGCAAUCGCGAUUGCUGCGAAAGUGAGUUAGUUUUUUUAAUUUUAUUUUGCUUGAGGAUUAGCAAAAUGUAGGUUGGAGGAUGUGAUAAGUGCUAAAUAAUGCAUAAACUAAUAUCUUAUUCAUAGCACUUAUUAUUAUUUUAAUUCAUAUAUUUUGUGAAUUUAACUAAAAAAAAUGUGUUACCUUCAUCAUUGCAUUUUAAUAAAUUAUUAAUGGUAAUUCGAGUUUUACUUAUUGAGUCUAAUGUACACAGGUCGAGUCAAACUCGUUUGGGAUGAUCGCUGUAGCCAAAUCGUAUGCACCCUGCGAUUCAAAUCCUCUCAGAUUUUCGAUUCAGCCGCUCAUCUCAACUCUAUUAUUUCUUUCACAUCCAACUGAGUUCGACUUUUCGUUCAUGUUCUAAUAUUUUGUCUCAAAACUUCCCACUGCAAACUCGUAUCACAUUCAUUAGACUUUAUCCUGGUUGAAACCAGCCAGUCCAGUCAUCCCAUCAUCCACGAAUUAAUUCCCCUGCUUUGCAUCUCGUGCAUGUUCUUUCCGUCCACAUUUUUCUUAUCCUCCCCUUCUUCCAUGUAAUUCUUCCCACACUUCACAGCCUCUUGGAUUAACCCAACCAACCAUGACCGACCUCCCAUCCAAAGAACAAGCCUUCCAUGCUAGUCUUCCCCUGUUCCACAACAUUCAUCUACGAGUCAUCAUCCCAGCUCACGGCUCUUCACUCCUUCCCAGCCAAACCAACCAACCUUCUCCGGAUUCCACGUCCACGAACAGAUCCAGCUCCUCCCAGCCGAGAUCCCAACGUCUCUCCCCUUUUUCACGCAUCUUCAUCUCAUCCUCUUCCCCUAUUCCGAAACAAAGGAAACAACCAUCUGUGAUUUAAGGCCCCUUCCGGAUCAACUCUCGGCCAUCCCGCUCGAUGGACGAAGCUCACGCAUAUCCCCCUGCGUCCAGCUCUUAUCCACGAGUUCCUCCCAACCGGGAACAUCAUCCCGUUCGGAUUGGCCCCAAGCUUCAUGGCAUAGAACUAGAUCCCAACUUCUUUCGCUAGAUCACAGCAAGGAUGAGCAUUCUGAACGCCCAGAUUUCUUCCCAGCAUCCUAUGAAUUUGGCUUACAUUUCGUUGUGAUCCAUCUUCAUCCAAGUUCAUCCCAACAUCCACGUUUGAUCCCAGCUACAUCUAUCUUCAUCCCGCAUCCAACCGGAUUCCCAACUUCUUCCCAGUACCCCAACUCUUCCGGAUUUCUUCCUAGCUUGCAGCUUUAUCCUCUAUUUCGGAAUAGAGAAUCAGCCAUCCAGCCGAGAUCUUCUCCGCAUAUUCCCACAGUUGCAGCUUUCCUCCCAACCUUCUCCAAGAUCUUGCUCACAGCAUCAAUCUCCUUCCGCAUCCCCUGCUUCGGAACAGAGUCCGAGUCUUCAUCAAUUCAACCAUCCAGCCAUUCCCAAGCUUCCUUUCUUCCAGAUAGCUCUAAAUCCCAGCGAAGCCAGCACCUACACAACGUUCGAGUACUCCGUGAUCCGACUCUAUCCGCAAGUAAGCUUCAUCCUUCCGCAUGAUCCUCCCAUUCGGAACAGCCACAAAACAGGGGAGGGGCAGCCUAUAUAAAGUGGAGUUCUUCUCUUCCGGAGGGGCCAUCUCUCACAGGCCAAGUUCCCACGGGAAGAAGACAAUAGGGANN